RNAcentral lists this long non-coding RNA (1169 nucleotides) under Marmota monax (woodchuck). The record is from RNAcentral. Lineage: Eukaryota; Metazoa; Chordata; Mammalia; Rodentia; Sciuridae.
CAAUAAAAAGAAUAAAAAAUAAAAAGGGCUGGGGAUGUGGCAGCUAAACACCCCUGGGUUCAAUCCCUGGUUAAAAAACAAACAGACAAACAUAAAAUGAUCAAAUAAUGCCAAACUGAUGAGCUAUUACAGACAAUAGAAAUUAGCUCUCAAGGAUGCCACCUCACAUUUCUUCUCAAGGUGGGCCAGAACCAGAGUGAGGUGGGUGAGUAGCUUAGGGCUUCACAUUUAAGGAGGCAACCCCUGUCCAGGUCAUGUGAAUGCAGGGUAAGCACCUCCUUAAGAAUGUGCCAGAGCUACCUUACUCUUCCUUUUCUAGUCCCCAACCUGUUUCCAAGUUUCCACCACAAAUUUCAAAACAAAGUUCUCCUAGAAGCUGACUUCAAGAUAGAGUUUGAGCACAGUGGUUUAAUUUGGAGGUGCAGGGACCAAUGGAUGGGAGUGGGAAAGUGAUGGGGGGAAGGAGAGGCUGCCAAUGACAUGUUGUUGUGGGCUGACUUGAAAGUGAAGUCAGGCUGACCCCGUUCUGCUCAGACAUCUCACCCUGCACAGAAUUGGCCUCUUUCUGCAUGAGCCCACUCAAAUAGAAGCUGACACUCCUACCCACUUGCACCCUGAUCACAAUAUCUUUAAACUAUGGAGCUGGUGCUAGCUUCGUUUCUGAGUAGGUAUAGGAGGUGCCAAUUCUGAGAACUUGGUGACACUUUAUGAAAUAUGUCUUGUGAUUGUACUUGCCUCUCUGGCCCCCCUUCUUUGUGUUUUUUUCUGUUUUUAUGUGGCCCCAUCACCCACAUUCGGUGUCUUGGCCACGGCACUGUCUGCUUUCUGCUCCCUUGGCCCUGGUCAGAAUAAAUCCUUUGUCUUUGCUUCAAAAAAGACCCAGAGUUUGAUUUGGGAUUUUGGAAUAGAGCACCUUAACAUUGUGAGUUCUUAUACGAGCUCCCCCUGUAGAGACCUAUACCCCUGGGGAACCCAGUGAGUGAAAGCGACCCCUCAGAUUCAUACUAUCUGAGGGGAAAAAAAAGAGCUGAAGUUUUUACACACCACUUCUGAACCAUCUGUUGAGAGCUGUGGCACAUUUGUGCAAAAGCCCUCAGGCAUAAAGAUGCAGAUACUGAAACUUUAAGGUCUGUGGGAUCCUGGGUAUGGUAUGGGGUGAGGGCAAUGAC